AACGAUGGUUAUUGUCAGCAUCCUUCCCGCCGAGUUACUGUCAAUGAUGAAUUUUGGUUGCACGAAACAUUUAUUAUCCAAGAUAUCAGCGACUCCAGGAUGCAGCCCCCAAUCAUUCUACAUUUUGGAAAUCAGAAAUCAAUACCAAAAAUGGACUUUCAUGGUCAUCUUUAACUAAAUUGCGCUGACAUAAUGGAGAAUGGAGUAGCAGAACAUAGAGGCACAUCUUUGUUGAAAAGUUCUGGAUUAAAUGAACCGGUGUUGUGAUAUCAUCUGUGCAGUGUUGAAAUUGAAAUCGCUAGAAGAAAAUCAAGAGUCUUGGGGCCCACCUACGUCUGCUGAUGUGUUCAACAAGGAGAACAAUCUGCAGAACAUCUCCUCUGGGACAGGUAUUGGAUGAUGAGGAGAAAAAGACCAAAAAGAAAAUAUCACGGAAAAAGGGGAAGAAAGGACGAAAGGCCCAGUCAGGAUCCCAGGAGCCAGUCCAUUCCAUCGACUGCCCAGAGGAGCCAGUCCAUUUCACCGACUGCCUGAAGGAGCCAGUCCAUUUCAUCGACUGCCUGAAGGAGCCAGUCCAUUUCAUCGACUGCCCACAGGAGCCAGUCCAUUUCACCGACUGCCCACAGGAGCCAGUCCAUUUCAUCGACUGCCCACAGGAGCCAGUCCAUUUCACCGACUGCCCACAGGAACCAGUCCAUUUCACCGACUGCCUGAAGGAGCCAGUCCAUUCCAUCGACUGCCCACAGGAGCCAGUCCAUUUCAUCGACUGCCUGAAGGAGCCAGUCAAUUCCAUCGACUGCGCAGAGGAGCCAGUCAAUUCCAUCGGCUGCCCAGAGGAGCCAGUC
Long non-coding RNA from Anguilla rostrata (American eel), 845 nucleotides. RefSeq lists it as uncharacterized. The record is from RefSeq and is a predicted model, not a curated record. NCBI's taxonomy places the organism in Eukaryota, Metazoa, Chordata, Actinopteri, Anguilliformes, Anguillidae. The transcript has 4 exons.